AAGAGUGAAGAGGAGCAGAAACAGACAUGAGCUAAAAGCCUGUCCUGCCCCUUGUUCCAUAUUCCAGGUGCUCUCCAAGUCCUUGGCAAGCUGUUUAGGUAGCAGGCUCUGUAAUGGCUUUGAAAGUAACUGGGCAGUGAUGCAGGGAGAGUGAAGAGACUUGCCAGACAGAAAAGGCGGUAAGGAGACCCUUUCCUAUCACACUUUCAAAGGGUCAGGUAUCGAGGCAGCUAUUUGCAGGUAACAAGCAUCCUCAGACAGUGAUGGAAGAGAAAAGCCAUUCAUGGAUGGUGGUGUGUCUGAAUUGGAAGAUGCCUCCCCAUCCCUGCCACACUUUGAGUGAUACUGGGGGAAAUGGAAGCCCAGAGAGGCAAAGCAACUUAUCCGAAGGCACACAGCAAAUACACUGACAGGAAAUGCCCUGGAUGAGGAUUUCACUGGUUGACUGACCAUUUCAAUGGCUUUGCAGCUUUUGAAGAUUUGCUGCUGCCCGCAUCCUAUCUGAUUUCUACAGUAGCUUUCUGGGGUUGCUGGAAAGGACGGUGAAUCCCAUGUGACUAGUGAGAAAGCUGAGGUCUAGGGAUGGACAGUGAUUUCUUCAAAGUUACAAAGCAAGUCAGCAGCAGCAUGAUCUGUAAAUACAAAACUGUAAACCUAAA
Molecule: long non-coding RNA, 659 nt
Organism: Pongo pygmaeus (Bornean orangutan)
Lineage: Eukaryota; Metazoa; Chordata; Mammalia; Primates; Hominidae
Exons: 3
Source: RefSeq, a predicted model, not a curated record